Molecule: ribosomal RNA, 96 nt
Filed under: Escherichia coli
Lineage: Bacteria; Pseudomonadati; Pseudomonadota; Gammaproteobacteria; Enterobacterales; Enterobacteriaceae
Also listed under: 2 other names
Description: partial 16S ribosomal RNA
Rfam family: Bacterial small subunit ribosomal RNA
Source: RNAcentral
UUAAAUUGAAGAGUUUGAUCAUGGCUCAGAUUGAACGCUGGCGGCAGGCCUAACACAUGCAAGUCGAACGGUAACAGGAAGAAGCUUGCUUCUUUG